ACAUGACAAAGAACAGCCACACCUACAGUAUACCCAUACUGCUGUGCUCCUUUCAACACCUCAUUCUCCUGUUGUUCAGUGUGUUUUCUUGCUAGAGGGCCGUGUCAGUAGCACAGAAUAUACAUUUGCUGAACAUUGCCCCUAUGUGAGUGAACCCUCAACAAGUAAAAUACGCCCUCUUCAAGUGAAUAUUACAGGCAAAAGGAAAUCUGAUGAGGCCCAUGCAAACAAACAAACAAAGAAACAACAACGUGUUGCUGCGUCCAGAAUAACUGAAACAUUUGGUAGGUGGAUGAUGGUGUUUAUAUGGACCACAAUCAUUUUAAGAAACACUCUUUUAAUUGGAAACCAUUUAACAUGAUGUAUUGUAGACAUUCCUAAUUGAGAAUCGUAAAUAUGUACAUGACUGUUCUCUGUUCUGUUUGCAUGUUGCACAGUAGUGUCACGUCCUGACCAGUAUAGGGGUUAUUUGUUAUUGUAGUUUGGUCAGGACGUGGCAGGGGGUGUUUGUUUUAUGUGGUUCAGGGUGUGUUUUGUGUAUGUGUUUAGGUAGAGGGGUAUUUGAUUUAUUAGUCCGGGGUUUGUUAGUCAUUGUUCUAUGUUAGUGUAAUUCUAUGUUCUUUCUAGUCGUUUUAGAUCUAUGUUUAGUUAAUUGGGGUUGGACCUUCAAUUGGAGGCAGCUGGUUAUCGUUGCCUCUGAUUGAAGGUCCUAUAAUUAGGAGUUUGUUUGUUUUGGGGAU
This 740-nucleotide long non-coding RNA is filed under the name Salmo trutta (river trout). Its description in RNAcentral is "lncRNA (ENSSTUG00000000943.1)". Lineage: Eukaryota; Metazoa; Chordata; Actinopteri; Salmoniformes; Salmonidae. The record is from RNAcentral.